This 549-nucleotide small RNA is filed under the name Pan troglodytes (chimpanzee). Its description in RNAcentral is "processed transcript". The record is from RNAcentral. Lineage: Eukaryota; Metazoa; Chordata; Mammalia; Primates; Hominidae.
GAGCGGGUCUGGGCGGCUGCCGGCAGCGCCAUGGAGACGGUACAGCUGAGGAACCCGCCGCGCCGGCAGCUGAAAAAGUUGGAUGAAGAUAGUUUAACCAAACAACCAGAAGAAGUAUUUGAUGUCUUAGAGAAACUUGGAGAAGGAUUUACAACGUUAAACCCAAUCCUGGAUUACAUGAAAUGGUUUUUUUAUGAUUUACCUCCUUGUAAAAAACAUUAGUCAUCGUCUUUUUGUAAGUUGGAAAAAUACUCUUCGGAAUCCAGCAAGAAAUCAAGCAGAGAAGGGAAGUAAAAAUGACACACCAGCUGUGCUGUGAAAAGACAAGUCCAAGAUGAAUCUGAAGACUGCCAGUUGACUGGCAUCAUUAAAGAUCUAUGGAUGUCUUCUGCAAGGAAUGUGGAAAUUUCCCUAUGAAGAUAUCACCAGGGAGAAAACAAAGCUUCAGAUCUUUCUUCCCAUACUAUCACCUUAUUGUUCUUCUAAAUAAUACCAGAUUUCUGGUAUUUCUUGGAUUUCUGUUAUUCUGACUGAAUGAACCUAAGCAAG